GACGAACGCUGGCGGCGUGCUUAACACAUGCAAGUCGAACGGAAAGGCCCUGCUUGCAGGGUACUCGAGUGGCGAACGGGUGAGUAACACGUGGGUGAUCUGCCCUGCACUUCGGGAUAAGCUUGGGAAACUGGGUCUAAUACCGGAUAGGAACCAUCUUUAGUGUGGUGGUUGGAAAGUUUUUUCGGUGUAGGAUGAGCUCGCGGCCUAUCAGCUUGUUGGUGGGGUAAUGGCCUACCAAGGCGGCGACGGGUAGCCGGCCUGAGAGGGUGUACGGCCACAUUGGGACUGAGAUACGGCACAGACUCCUACGGGAGGCAGCAGUGGGGAAUAUUGCACAAUGGGCGCAAGCCUGAUGCAGCGACGCCGCGUGGGGGAUGAAGGCCUUCGGGUUGUAAACUCCUUUCGCUAGGGACGAAGCUUUGUUGUGACGGUACCUAGAUAAGAAGCACCGGCUAACUACGUG
RNAcentral lists this ribosomal RNA (466 nucleotides) under uncultured bacterium. RNAcentral describes it as "partial 16S ribosomal RNA". It matches the Rfam family "Bacterial small subunit ribosomal RNA", at positions 28 to 507 of the family's 1533-position model. The record is from RNAcentral.